This 409-nucleotide ribosomal RNA is filed under the name Actinomycetes bacterium. RNAcentral describes it as "Actinobacteria bacterium partial 16S ribosomal RNA". It matches the Rfam family "Bacterial small subunit ribosomal RNA", at positions 355 to 776 of the family's 1533-position model. The record is from RNAcentral. Lineage: Bacteria; Bacillati; Actinomycetota; Actinomycetes.
UGGGGAAUAUUGCACAAUGGGCGGAAGCCUGAUGCAGCGACGCCGCGUGGGGGAUGAAGGCCUUCGGGUUGUAAACUCCUUUCGACAGGGACGAAGCUUUUGUGACGGUACCUGUAUAAGAAGCACCGGCUAACUACGUGCCAGCAGCCGCGGUAAUACGUAGGGUGCGAGCGUUGUCCGGAAUUACUGGUCGUAAAGAGCUCGUAGGUGGUUUGUCGCGUCGUCUGUGAAAUUCCGGGGCUUAACUCCGGGCGUGCAGGCGAUACGGGCUGACUUGAGUGCUGUAGGGGAGACUGUAAUUCCUGGUGUAGCGGUGAAAUGCGCGGAUAUCAGGAGGAACACCGAUGGCGAAGGAAGGUCACUAGGCAAUAAAUGACGCUGAGGAGCGAAAGCAUGGGUAGCGAACAGG